Molecule: ribosomal RNA, 253 nt
Filed under: uncultured bacterium
Lineage: Bacteria
Description: partial 16S ribosomal RNA
Rfam family: Bacterial small subunit ribosomal RNA
Source: RNAcentral
UACGUAGGGUGCAAGCGUUGUCCGGAAUUAUUGGGCGUAAAGAGCGUGUAGGCGGCCCGAUUAGUCCGCUGUGAAAGUCCAGGGCUCAACCCUGGAAUGCCGGUGGAUACUGUCGGGCUAGAGUCCGGAAGGGGCGAGUGGAAUUCCUGGUGUAGCGGUGAAAUGCGCAGAUAUCAGGAGGAACACCAAUGGCGAAGGCAGCUCGCUGGGACGUGACUAACGCUGAGACGCGAAAGCGUGGGGAGCAAACAGG